Molecule: ribosomal RNA, 179 nt
Filed under: Paramuribaculum sp.
Lineage: Bacteria; Pseudomonadati; Bacteroidota; Bacteroidia; Bacteroidales; Muribaculaceae
Description: partial 23S ribosomal RNA
Rfam family: Bacterial large subunit ribosomal RNA
Source: RNAcentral
AGCACCGCCGGGUAGCCGCGUCUGGCAAGGAUAAGUGCUGAAAGCAUCUAAGCACGAAGCCCCCCUCAAGAUAAGAUUUCCAUAUAGGGUCGUCAGAGACGAUGACGUCGAUAGGUCGCAGGUGCAGGGACUGUGAGGUCUAUAGCCGAGCGAUACUAAUCACCCGAACCCUUUUUGGU